CGAGCACGCGCGUGUGGCAUAUCAAUAAGCGGAGGAAAAGAAACUAACAAGGAUUCCCUUAGUAACGGCGAGUGAAGCGGGAAGAGCUCAAAUUUGAAAUCUUCAAGGUUCUACCUUGACGAAUUGUAGUCUAUAGAAGUGUUUUCUGUUAGUGGAGUGGCAAAAGUUCUUUGGAAUAGGACAUCAUAGAGGGUGAGAAUCCCGUAUUUGGUCAUUCCUCCUAGCGUUGUGAUACACUUUCAAAGAGUCGGAUUGUUUGGGAAUGCAGUCCAAAAUGGGUGGUAAAUUUCAUCUAAAGCUAAAUAUUGGCGAGAGACCGAUAGCGAACAAGUACCGUGAGGGAAGAUGAAAAGAACUUUGAAAAGAGAGUUAAACAGUACGUGAAAUUGUCAAAAGGGAGGCGUUUGACACCAGUGUUGUUUUUCCGAAAAUCAGUUAAGAAUGUUUUGUUUUUAGAGAGUUAUGACUUCAUCGGCUUGCUCCUUUCUUUAUGAAACUUUCUUAAUGCACUUUUCGGUUAACAAGUCAACAUCAAUUUCUUUUGUUGUAAAAGGGUAUGAGGAAGGUGGCUUUCUUUUCGGAGAAAGUGUUUAUAGCCUUUGGCUUCUGCAAUCGGAGAGAUUGAGGUCUGCAGCGUAGAUCCUUCGGGGUUAGAUACAUUUGUGCUAAGUUAUAGCCUUUCAUAGACAACUUGUUGACUAUGAUCAGUCAUGUAGCUUACUCGCUUAUGCUAUUUUACCUACGCUUAGGAUGUUGAUGUGAUACUGCGAGC
RNAcentral lists this ribosomal RNA (772 nucleotides) under uncultured Neocallimastigales. Its description in RNAcentral is "partial large subunit ribosomal RNA". It matches the Rfam family "Eukaryotic large subunit ribosomal RNA", at positions 19 to 645 of the family's 3401-position model. Lineage: Eukaryota; Fungi; Neocallimastigomycota; Neocallimastigomycetes; Neocallimastigales. The record is from RNAcentral.